UGGGGAAUAUUGCACAAUGGACGGAAGUUUGAUGCAGCGACGCCGCGUGGAGGGUGUAGGCCUUCGGGUUGUGAACUCCUUUUUCUCGCGAAAAAGGCACAGUUUUGGCUGUGUUGAUGGUAGUGGGGUAAGAAGCGCCGGCUAACUACGUGCCAGCAGCCGCGGUAAUACGUAGGGCGCGAGCGUUGUCCGGAUUUAUCGGGCGUAAAGAGCUCGUAGGUGGUUCGUCGCGUCUGUCGUGAAAGCCAGCAGCUUAACUGUUGGUCGGCGGGGGGAACGGGCGGGCUUGAGUGCGGUAGGGGUGACUGGAAUUCCUGGUGUAGCGGUGAAAUGCGCAGAUAUCAGGAGGAACACCGAUGGCGAAGGCGGGUCACUGGGCCGUUACUGACACUGAGGAGCGAAAGCGUGGGGAGCGAACAGG
Molecule: ribosomal RNA, 421 nt
Filed under: Fusobacteriota bacterium
Lineage: Bacteria; Fusobacteriati; Fusobacteriota
Description: Fusobacteria bacterium partial 16S ribosomal RNA
Rfam family: Bacterial small subunit ribosomal RNA
Source: RNAcentral